AUAUUUACUUCCUAUUUCAUUUGUGUUUUGAAUGUUUUAUAUUUCUAUGUUCUGUAGACUUCGCACACUUUACGUCUCUAUCUUUUUAACUUCGCUUAUCUUAAAGAGAUAAAGCUUCGUCAAAAGGGGGGAGCUGUUACAUCCCUAGUUAAGAUGGACAUAGUAUA
Aricia agestis (brown argus) is the source of this 167-nucleotide long non-coding RNA. RefSeq lists it as uncharacterized. The transcript has 3 exons. The record is from RefSeq and is a predicted model, not a curated record. Lineage: Eukaryota; Metazoa; Arthropoda; Insecta; Lepidoptera; Lycaenidae.